CAGCCGCCGCGGUAAUACCGGCGGCCCGAGUGGCGGCCACUAUUAUUGGGCUUAAAGCGUCCGUAGCCGGGUUGGUUAGUCUCCCGGGAAAUCUGGCCGCUUAACGGUCAGAAUUCCGGGAGAUACUGCCAGCCUAGGGACCGGGAGAGGCCGAGGGUAUUCCCGGAGUAGGGGUGAAAUCCUAUAAUCCCGGGAGGACCACCUGUGGCGAAGGCGCUCGGCUGGAACGGGUCCGACGGUGAGGGACGAAGGCCAGGGGAGCAAACCGGAUUAGAUACCCGGGUAGUCCUGGCUGUAAACGAUGCGGACUUUGUGUCGGACAAGCUAUGAGCUUGUCCGGUGCCGGAGGGAAACCGUUAAAUCCGCCGCCUGGGGAGUACGGCCGCAAGGCUGAAACUUAAAGGAAUUGGCGGG
Molecule: ribosomal RNA, 414 nt
Filed under: uncultured microorganism
Description: bacterial SSU rRNA
Rfam family: Archaeal small subunit ribosomal RNA
Source: RNAcentral